ACAGUUUGAGAACCAUUGAACGAGGGCUGGGACGACUCCAUGGUUCCACUUGUCCCUACUCCCACAGAGCUUCAGUGACAGGCAAGUACCACAGCACCCUCUGUUUAUGUGGAUUCGGGGUUUACAAGCAAGUCCUCAUGCUUAGGCAGCAAGCGUGAGGUUUAUCCACUGGGCCAUCUCAACUCCUCCUCUCUGUUCUGAGUCACGGUCUCUUACAAGUUUGACUAGAGAGCUAACCAACGGGUCCUAGGGAUUCUGCUGUUUCUCUCUCUUCAGAGUCGGGAUCACAGUCCCCUGAGCUCUGGUCUGUCGCUUUUUACCUACAGUGCUGGGUAUCUGCACAUGGGUCCCCGGGCUUCCGCACAUUUUAUUGAUUAUGACAUUGCCCCAAUCUCCUAUGUAAUUUAGACAAGAGGUUUUGCUUUGAUUCUUUUGCUAGCCUGGUACUGGAUAUAUAACCCAGGAUGGUCCCGAGUCAGGACCAUACUCCCGGUACAGUCUCCCAAGCCUGAGACUAUGGGCAUGUCAUCAUGUCCAUCAUGACCAGCUACAAUGGCACCUAGAUUUUGUUCACUUCUGUAUCCUGCAGUACCUAGACGGGUCUAGCCUGAGAGCUAAGAGGCGUCAUGGCAAUGAGGCACGAUUGUCAGCAAGCAGCAAACAAGGCAGCUGGAGCAUCCGACGCAGCGCACGGAAAGCUCUUACCUUCAACAGCAAACACAAAAUGGAGCAAACUAGAAACAAUGGCUCAAGCCUUCAAAUUCUCAAAGGGAAGUAUAGCUCUUGUCUCUCA
This is a long non-coding RNA of Mus musculus (house mouse), 793 nucleotides long. RefSeq annotates it as predicted gene, 39970. NCBI's taxonomy places the organism in Eukaryota, Metazoa, Chordata, Mammalia, Rodentia, Muridae. The record is from RefSeq and is a predicted model, not a curated record. The transcript is spliced from 3 exons.